UAUAAGCAACUUGUACUGUGAAACUGCGAAUGGCUCAUUAAAUCAGUUAUCGUUUAUUUGAUAGUACCUUACUACAUGGAUACCUGUGGUAAUUCUAGAGCUAAUACAUGCUAAAAACCCCGACUUCAGGAAGGGGUGUAUUUAUUAGAUAAAAAACCAACGCCCUUCGGGGCUCCUUGGUGAAUCAUAAUAACUUAACGAAUCGCAUGGCCUUGCGCCGGCGAUGGUUCAUUCAAAUUUCUGCCCUAUCAACUUUCGAUGGUAGGAUAGUGGCCUACCAUGGUGGCAACGGGUAACGGGGAAUUAGGGUUCGAUUCCGGAGAGGGAGCCUGAGAAACGGCUACCACAUCCAAGGAAGGCAGCAGGCGCGCAAAUUACCCAAUCCCGAUACGGGGAGGUAGUGACAAUAAAUACUGAUACGGGGCUCUUUUGGGUCUCGUAAUUGGAAUGAGAACAAUUUAAAUCCCUUAACGAGGAACAAUUGGAGGGCAAGUCUGGGCACGGC
This 505-nucleotide ribosomal RNA is filed under the name Penicillium sp. N42. RNAcentral's name for it is "SSU rRNA". It matches the Rfam family "Eukaryotic small subunit ribosomal RNA", at positions 64 to 571 of the family's 1831-position model. Lineage: Eukaryota; Fungi; Ascomycota; Eurotiomycetes; Eurotiales; Aspergillaceae. The record is from RNAcentral.